RNAcentral lists this ribosomal RNA (477 nucleotides) under uncultured bacterium. RNAcentral's name for it is "partial 16S ribosomal RNA". It matches the Rfam family "Bacterial small subunit ribosomal RNA", at positions 28 to 523 of the family's 1533-position model. The record is from RNAcentral.
GACGAACGCUGGCGGCGUGCUUAACACAUGCAAGUCGAACGGUAAGGCCCUUCGGGUACACGAGUGGCGAACGGGUGAGUAACACGUGGGAGAUCUGCCCUGCACUUCGGGAUAAGCCUGGGAAACUGGGUCUAAUACCGGAUAGGACCACUGCCUGCAUGGGUGGUGGUGGAAAGCUUUUGCGGUGUGGGAUGGGCCCGCUGCCUAUGAGCUUGUUGGUGGGGUGAUGGCCUACCAAGGCGACGACGGGUAGCCGGCCUGAGAGGGUGACCGGCCACACUGGGACUGAGAUACGGCCCAGACUCCUACGGGAGGCAGCAGUGGGGAAUAUUGCACAAUGGGCGCAAGCCUGAUGCAGCGACGCCGCGUGAGGGAUGACGGCCUUCGGGUUGUAAACCUCUUUCAGCACCGACGAAGCGCAAGUGACGGUAGGUGCAGAAGAAGGACCGGCCAACUACGUGCCAGCAGCCGCCGUAA